RNAcentral lists this long non-coding RNA (6324 nucleotides) under Capsella rubella. Its description in RNAcentral is "long non-coding RNA (CRUB_LNC000964)". The record is from RNAcentral. Lineage: Eukaryota; Viridiplantae; Streptophyta; Magnoliopsida; Brassicales; Brassicaceae.
AUCUAAUCGUAGCCGUUUAAUUUUUCAGAUUUUGAGUAAAACAUUAGAAACUACUCUAAAACUUCACAAAACGUAACAAAGUAGUAGAGACUCCAAGUAUGAAACGUUUUACAAUGGAGCCAAAGCUCUUCUAUCGCCUCUGUUACUUUCAUUUGAUAGAACCAGUGAUGUAUUAAGAGACCAAAAUGUCACCAAGAAAAAGGAAAAGACCAGAUCCAUCAACUUAGAGGUUGUACUUGUGUCUUCUCAUUAUCCUAUACACCCCAGUAUGUCUCCACAAUGUUCAAGGCCUUCUCGUUUAUUUCUUUGCUUUCGUGUUGUUGCAGGUUCUCAAUCUUUUCUUUCCCUUCUGCAUCUCCAAUCAGCUGAGAGUAUAAGUUCACGCCUCCGGUGGUGUUCUUCUCCACCUCUCCAGCUACCAAAAUCCUUUCCAAUCCAUCUAAACACGCUGAGAUGAUCCAUACGUCUGGACAUACUAGGACAUCACAUAAAGGUUUUAUGCAACCCUGCUCCACCAAGUAUCUGAAUCACACCAAUGGAGAUUGUGACUUGAUGAUCAAUAAGCAUGUUAAAAGUGAAAACACAAAGAAGACAAGGACUUACUUGAUUUGAUCAUGAGAAGCAGCUAAGGUCACAUUUGAAAUUGCCCAUAUAACGUCGUUCUUAAAGUCCAGUUCAGUAUUUUGAGCCAGAUGGACCAACUUUGGAACCAAAUUUGCCUCAAGAACUAACUGUUAUCUCACCAGGGGGAGACAGAGACAAAAUUGAACACAAUUAGUGAUAGCAACCAGACAGAAGGGUAAAUUUGUAUUACGUAGACGUUCUGCAACUACAACAGUCAAGAACUGAUGCACAUAAUAAAGCGACAAAAACUUCUCACCUGAGUUUGUAAGUAAAAGCCUACAGUGAUGUUUGAAAUCGUAACCAAAGUGGCUUUCUUUAUGUCUUUGUCAUAGUCUCGAGUAAGCAGUUCGGAAAGAAUGGGUAGAGCACCACAACUGAUCAUAACCUGAAGAAUAAGUUAAAAGAGGUUUAUUCAGGGCCUUUCGUUGUUUGGUUACAAAAUCUAAUCACAGCAUUAUAAACAAGGAACAUAUAACAAAGCAAGCACUGCAUCCUCCCUACUAAUAGCGGUACAGUGAUAUAAAAAUAAGCUUCCAUAAGUACAUAAGGUGGACAACGCAAGUGGAAUAUGAAUUACAUACUUGGAUCUGGUGAUUAUCCUUUCUACCUAUAGUCUCAAUGGACUUAAGUACAGGAGCAACCACAUCUGGGCAAGGGUGUCUGCAAAAGAAAAAUUUGUCAGCCAAACAUAUCACAAAGGGUUAUAUAUGUGUAUAUAUUCUGAGAAGUACUAACCGGAGAACUUCAACUAGUUUUGGGACAAAACCAAACUCGAUCACACUCUGGACUCCAGCUUCUGAACCAUCACACACAUGCCGAAUUGCCAGAGAGAGAGAGAGAGAGAGAGAGAGAGAGAGAGAGAGAGAGAGAGAGAGAGAGAGAGAGAGAGAGAGAGAGAGAGAGAGAGAGAUGGGUAAGAAGACCUGUUCGAAGAUAGGCGGAGGCGUUCCACGACACAAGUGACACAAAGUCAGAGUGGCAAAUCUUAGCGUCGGCAAGUUAAUAUUCUUGGACAGUAGAUUCAACAGUGGCACCAAUGCCCCAGAGUUAAGAACAUAGUCACGGUGUAUAGGAUGGACAGCAACAUUACAUAUUGCCCAUAUAGCCUGUAAGAAUAAUGUCAAAACUCAUACCUGUGACAAAGCAAUCAUAUCUACAACAUAAAGUACAAUACUUACCUGAUCACGGACAUAAUCUCUAUUUGAAGCAAGAAGCUUGACUAGCCCUGGAACAGCAUCGUAAGCAACUACCAGAUCCGGUUUACUAACAGCAAUUCUUGUUAGACAGGAAGCUGCCUGAUACUAUAAAAGAUCAUUGAAUAAAUAUCAGAAUCAAAGAUUACACUGAUCAUCGUAAAAGUAUCAAUUUGAUAUUAGGGAAACUCAGGGGAAAUCUUCUAACAUGAAGCCUAGAGAAAUCUUUCGCGCCAAGAAAGCAAACCAAACGAUAUAUAACUCCAGAUUGUAUCAGCUCUUGAGUAUCAUGAUCCGCUAUUCCUGGCAUACCUGUACAGAGCAAACAAGACUUACAGAAACAUUCAAGUUUAACGAUAAAAGACCAAUCUUUCAAGAAAAGUAAAGAAAGUAAACAGAGAAAGUUUUACUCUUUAAGAGAAUCUCGUUGAUCUUGGUAGCGGAACCAAGCUUUCUUGAAUCAUCGUCUGAGGAAAGAUCAGCGAGCAAACUCGUAUCUUCUGAGAACAUCGUGUGACGAAGCUUUGGUUCCUCUCUUCUUCGACUACUCCAAAGCCGUUAACGAAACUUGAAAAGAACCCUAGAAAUCUCAACUUCUCAACUCGAAUGUGAAAGAGGAAGAAGAGAACUUUUGCAAUUGAGAGUAAGAAAAAAAUGAUGAAGGAGCGAAGAAAAAAAAAAAAGAAACAGAUGGUUUUAUAGAAGCGAACAAGAGAAAAAACGGUUUUUUUCGUUAUCGUCAUCAGAGAAACCGGUUUGGUUUGAUUUUAAUUGGAUUCAAAUCCGGUUAAAUCCAAUUGAAUUUAGUUUUGGGUUUAACUCCGGUUUAAUGAAACCCAGACGAUUUUCCCCCAAAUCGGAGUUAAAAUUAGGGUUCAUGGGGUCUCUCUUCUAACCUUACGACCACCACACCAACGCCAACGCCAACCCGAAUGAUGGGUUUUGCUUGUACCACAAUCAUCAGCACAAGACUUCAUUACACUAACACUAAUUUUGUUCUGUUCGAUCAUUUCUCCAGCUCUUAUUUUCAUAACAUUGAAAACAGAGAUCAAGAAAGGGAUCAGAAUCUGGUUUUAGUAACGUUUUGAGAAGAUCACGUCUCUUUCACAAAACAUGUCAAACACCAAACUGGUUCGAAAAGAAGACUGCCAUUAGAGAGAGAGAGAGAGCUUUACAAUGAAGAGUGUCGAGAGAAAAAAAAAAGGAACCAAAUUUGGCUGUAAAUGACGUUUAUGCCCUUUUAUUCUUUCUCUAUUUACUUUUUUUUUUGUUGUUGUUGUGCCUGUGUGGAGUUAAAAGUUUGUAAAUUCUCUACAUUACAACUGAAGUUGAGUCCUUUAGAAAGAACUGAAACUUGGUUCUCUCACAACAGAAAGACCAGAGAUCAUCACUUUAGAGGUUGUUGUGUCUGCUCAUCAUCCUCCUUCUUCCAGUAUGUCUCAAGAAUCUCCAAAGCCAUCGCGGAGACCUCUUUGCUUUUGUGGUGUUGCAGGUUCACAAUCUUUUCUAACCCUUCCGCAUCUUUAAUCAGCUGGGAGUAUUCCUCCACGUCUCCGGCCCUCAAAAUGUUUUCCAAUCCAUACAGACACUUUAAGAUGAUCCUCAUAUCUGGAGAUACCAGGAGAUCACACAAAGGUUUUAUGCAACCCUGCUCCACCAAGUACCUGAAAGAAACAACACCAAUAGAAAUUGUGACUUUUGAUGAGAUAAAUAAGCAUGUUAGAAGUGAAAACAAUAAGACAACGUACUUGAUUUGAAUGUUAAAAGACAAGACAAGGACGACCUACUUGAUUUGAUCAUGAGAACCACCUGAGGUUGCAUUUGAGACUGCAAGUACAGCUUUUUCCUUUAUAUCUAAUUCAGCAUUUUGAGCCAAAUUGACCAACGGUGGAAUCAGAUUUGCAUCUAUCACUGCCUGUUAUUAAGGUAAAGAGAGACAUAUAGCAACAAAAGGGUAAAUUUGUGAUAGCAACAAAAGGGUAAAUUUGUUUUCAUGUAUCUGCAACACUCACCUGAAUUUGUUCUUGAGUGCCUGCAGUGAUGUUUGAAAUCGUCCAGCAAGUUUUCCACUGUAUAACAGGGUUUCGAGUAAGCAGGUUGGCAAGAAGAGGUAAAACAUCACUCUCUAUCACAACCUGACAAAAAUAAGUUGAAAGAGCAUUUUGGUUACAACAUCUAAUAUCUAAACUAAUCAAUUUAAUCAUUCAAGAUACAUUAUAAUAACCCAACAAGAAGUGUUUAAAACAUAGAAGUACAUACUUGGGUCUGCUGAUUAUCUCCAAUAGUUAGACCCAAAAUGGUAGUUAAUGCAAGACCAAUCACCGUUGGAGAAACGUUUCUGCAAAAGAAAGAAAAAAAAUGUCAGCCUGCAUUAUCUAAACAUGUAGCAAAGGCUUAAAAAGGUUUGUUUUGAAUAAGUACUAACCCGAGAAGUUGGACUAUUCUUGGGACAAGACCAGCGUCGAUAAAGCUCUGGAUGGUCUCUUUUGAACCAUCAGAUAGAUUAUGAAGUGUACAACAUGCACUUAACAAAAACGAUUCAUCAUUUCUAUGAAGAACUUGCUGAAGUGCAGAGAGAGCAGGUUUCAUCUGUUUAGACAUUUUUCUAUAAGUUAAUGUAUACAAACUGAGGAAACAAAACCUGGAGAGAGAGAGAGAGAUAGAGCGAGAGAAGCUACAAGACCUGGCGAAAGGGAGGCGGAGGCAUGCCGGAGCAGAAAUUUGACAAAGUCCAAGAGGCAACUCCAACCAUUAUCUGAUUAUUAUUCUCAUGGAACUGAGCCAACAGUGGAGUCAAUGCACCACACCGUAGAACAUAGUCACGGGAUUGUAUAGAAGCACUAGCAACAUUACCUAGUGCACGCAUAACCUGCAAAAGAUGGUAUAACAUCAGAAUAUCAACUCCUAUAUAUAUCUCGCAUUCAUAUCUACAAUAAGUAAAAUACCUGAAAAUGGAGAUAAUAAUCAUCAGUAGCGCCAGCAAGAAGAUGGACAAAGAUUUGAACAGCACCGUGAUCAAUAAGAACUUUGGUGUUCUUUUCAGAAACAUGUCUUAGAAUGGAAGCAGCAACACACUAGAGAAGUAGAGAUCAUGGAAUAAAAUCAGAAAUGCCCAAUUAUUCAUUACAAUAUAUCAACUGAUGGGAGCUUUUUUCUUCUAACCUGUAACUUGAAUGAAUCUUCCAUCUUAAGAAACUCAGCGUAACGAGGCACAUUUCCAGAAUUUACUAUCUUAUCGACAGGCCUUUUUUGCGCUGGAACAUACAAGAAGAAGAAACUUAAAGAAACAUUCAGAUCAAGAACAAGAAAAGUAAAGAAAGUAAAACAGAGGAAGUUGUGUACCAUUAAACAUGGAAGCGUAUUUGAACUGUAUUGAUGGAUCAUCUGAGAAAACACCAGCAAUCAUUUCUUUGUCCACCUACGAGAAUAAACAAUCAAAAACCCAAACCAGAGAUUGAUUGAUUACUUGUGAAACACGUUUAGACGAACCUCUUUCUUGGCUUCGGGGUUCAGCGACAUGGUUUUCUCUUCUUUGACCUCUCUUCCAAGCGAUUUACAAAACUUGAAGGAGAAACAAAAACCUAAACUGAGAAGUGAAAGAGGAAGAGCACUUUUGCAAGAAUGCAAACAAGAAUUGGAUUAAACCAAAAAGCAGAUGAAGUUACAGAAGCGAACGAUAUUUCUAGUUACAUUAUUUUUAUAACAAAACCGGUUUAGUUUAGUUAAAUUUGGAAUUAAAUCCGGUCUAAUCCAAUUCAAUUAUUUUUGGGUUAAAUAUGGUUUACUGAACCCCAGAUUUCAAUCUGCUAGGCGUAUUGGUUCAUGUGAUCGUCUAAAGUCUAAUAAACCUUACGACCAUCACGCAAACGCAAACAUCAGUGGUGGGUUUAGCUUGUACGACAAUCACUAAGACUAAUUUUGUUCUGUUCGAUCAUGUCUCCAUCUCUUUUUUUCUUUCUUUAAACAAGUGUGAGGAUUGGGGGAUUUAACAGUUUGUGACAAAUCAAUCUUGCAUUAUAAAUUCUUUUUCUAGGAACCAUUUACAAAACAACUCUGUUAAUAUAAAGUAACAAUGGAGCCAAAGAUUAAUCCACCAUGAACUUGACUCACUCUUUGAGUUUUGGUUCCAUUCUAUUAACAGUUUGAAAGUUACUUUUUUUGUUUGCGUCUAUUCCUAAAUAUACAUUUCAACAGAAGUAGAAUCCGCUAGAAAGGACUGGAACUUGAUUCUGUCACAUCUGAAAGACCAGAGAUCAUCACCUUGGAGGUUGUUGUGUUUGGUCAUCAUCCUCUUUUUUCCAGUAUGUCUCCACAAUCUUCAAAGCCUUCUCGUUUACUUCUCUGCUUUCGUGUUGUUGCAGGUUCUCAAUCUUUUCUUUCCCUUCUGCAUCUCCAAUCAUCUGAGAGUAUAAGUUCACGUCUCCGGUGGUGUUCUUCUCCACCUCUCCAGCCAUCAAAAUCCUUUCCAAUCCAUUUAGACACGCAGAGAUGAUCCUUACAUUUGGAC